GGGGUCCCUCCUCUUGCCCCCAGCUGUAGCCUUUAGACAUCCCUGCUUGUCGUGUCCCAAGGAACCAUCCUGCCGCACACAAAGAUAGAACAUUUGCAGUGGAGGGACUUACCAUCUUUCUUUUUUUUCCUCCAUCGUAGCACAGCUCAGCCUCGUGGCUCUCCAGGUAUGUUUAAAAUGUGCUGGUGUGCGUGUACGUCGGAGGCGAGCGUGGAUCAUGCCAAGCGCUGAUCCUGCAGACACUUCAAACAUAGAUAUAAUUCUACUUAAGGAGGUUGUUCCAUUUAAGUCAAAAUACUGGCAUGGGUGAAGCGAAGGGAAGUGUUUCAGGACUGGGGCCUGUGUUUAACUUGCAGAAAAAGUAUUCAUGACACAAGCCAGAAUCUUUAACCCAUGUGAGCUGCAGCUCCGAGCGCGUCUCGCUGGCUUCGGUUUCUGACCUACUUGAGAAAGCAGUGCUCAGCUCGAGGCUGUGCGGCUGCUCGCGUGGCCUCGGAGGGGCCGGCUCGGAGGAGACACGGCGACAGCAGUGGCUCCGAGCUCCGGCCCCGUCCACACGCGGUGCCUGCAAGAGUUAAAGCCGAGCGCUGGGGCAGCUCAUGUGUUCUGUGUGUGUGCAUACUUUCCUAAUCUUGACAUGGGGUCUGAGCUGCAGGCUCUCAGGGCGUGCGUGAAGUUGGCUGCCACCUUUCUUCCCCCUGAAUCUGGCUGUGGCUCAGCGCAGGGAUGCUCCCCGCUGCUGGGAUCGCUGGCUGCUGAAAUCUUGUGCCUAUGGGGUCAGCUGGGCCAAAGGGUGCCCUGGCAUAGCUCGUGCUGCCUCCGCAAGGGAGUGGCAGAGGGAAGGAGAAGGGCUGCAGCGUGACCCCUCUGCUGCUGCUGGAAGAUGGCUUGCACGCACGUCGCGCUCUUGGGCGAGCUCUGCUGUCAGCAUUUGGCUGGGGAACAGCUGCCUCCGAGGAUGGGGUCUGGUUUAAGACAGGGCAACAGCUGUACGGAGCGGGGCUCUGGGAAGAGUAGGGAGAGAAAGAGCGUGCAUUUCGCUCCUUUAGGUGGCAAAGUCCUAAGGGCAAUGUGGGCCUUGGCCAUCCAGUGAGGAGAACCGCUGCUCCUUCGCCUCGCGGCGUGGCUGUCAGAAGUCACCGAGCGCUUUUGGACCAGAGUCUGGAAACGAAAGCUGCUCUUUUUUUUCGCUUAGGUCUCCUCUGAGAGGCUGCCAGUGACCACCUCGCCCCACCCUGCCGACGUGUGGGUGGGAGGGGGGCAGCCAGCAGGAGGGAACAUCACCAAACGGCAGAGCAGCUCCUUGGCUCGCCGCCACCAACAGGAGCAGCAGCAGCUGCCGGGAUGGCCCCCGGAGCCUCACUGAUGUCAGCAGAACCAGCGCUCCUUAAAGCCCGCACCGCAUGCAGGGGGCCGGGGGGCACAGCUGGGAGCUGCAGUAAGAGGAGAAGGCAGGGUGUAAAAAACAUUACUGCUUUUCUUUCUUUCUUUUUUUUUUUUCUUUUCUUUUUUUGCUCUCUGAAACAGACCUCUGCUUUCUGCAGGGGUGGGAACGCUUUGCAUGAGCGAGCGAGAGUUAGGAGAAAUGCUUAUAAGUAGAACAAGUUACCAAAAGCAAGAAGCAGAAAGGAGAAACACUGUAAGGUUUGUGUGUGUCUGCUGCACGUCUCUUCUGCUUGCUCUUUUCUUUUAAGAGAAACGUGGCUGGGAACAGCUGGGUGCUGUCGGAUUAAUCCGUCAGUGCCAUUCCCUUCUCUCUGUCCCGUGCUGUCUCUGAGAAGUUGCCAUACUGUGGCAGAUCGUACUUUCAAACAUCGUACUGUGUUUGAGAAGCAUCUGGCUUGCCUUGGGAUGCUGAAUGAGAUAUAGCAGGUUGCAGUCCUGCGUGUGCUCUCUUUCCCUCCUGCCAUUACUUGAGCAGGGGAGGGGAGCGCGCAUCAAUCAUGCUGCUGUUGGCAGCUCCCUUCCGCUCCCCUUUGCUGUUGCAGAGAUGGCACCCGCACCACUGGUGUGGUUUACUGAGGCUGUCUUUCCUUGUGUGUUAAUAGCAAGAGUCCCUGAUAGCAAAAGGCUCUGUGAGUGAGGGCUGUCUGACCUCUCUGCUGUGGGAUACACGGUGCAAAAUUUCCUGUGAUUGAUAAUGAAGUGAAUGCAAGUUGCUCUCAGGCCGUAGACGACUCCUUCUGAUGUAGCGUUGGUGCAGUUUCCCAAAGUCACAACCUGUGGCUUGAGAUGCUGAGGGAAGAGGAUACCAGCUUUUCCAGAACUGUGCUGCUCAAUCGCAGAACAAGGUUGGACUGGACGUGAAACUGGAUUCCAGGGUGACGUGGUGGUGAUUGCUGUCUCUGUGGGCUUUGCUUCUUCCCACAGUUGGGCAGUUGAUUUUCCCAGUAGGGCUGUGCCGGCUCAGUCUUGCUGCUUGUACUGUGGUGUUACCCCUGCACAGAAGCUGUAUUUGAAUGGCUUACAAGGGCUAUACAGUGCACUGAUACAGGUGACAGGGGUAAGCCAGCCUAUGCAGGCUUGUUGGAAAGCUGAAUGUGCAAAACGCUGUCUCCAUCAAGGCUGAAGUAAUAAUACGUUGAGAGAGUCUGUCAUGAAAAACAAACAGCGUAGCACAGGCAUUUGGGAAGGACUUCGUGCUCUUUUAUAUGGCCAAUGCUCUUUGUUAACUCAGGUUAACUUACAAGUUGGAUUAACAUUUCCUAUGUCAUUUGGGUAUUCUUGGAGUAAUUAGCAGAAAUGACACGGGGUCACAGCAGUUGUAUGAGACAGAAUAAGCAUCUGCUUGUGUUCUUUUCAAUCCAGACAAUGGCAUGAAAAACACGUUUAAUGAAGGUGACAGAGACAGUAACAGAGUCAGCAAAAGAACCCAAAUGCUCUAUAUCCAGUGCUGUGUCUUCACCAUUAGAUCACGCUUCCUGUCUAGGCAGAUGAACCCACAUAAAACCCCUGGUUCACAAACAGAUGACUUUCAAGUACUGCAGCGUGGUAAAAUACAGCUAGGGCUAAUAUAUUUGCUCUGACUUUCAUCUUGAGUGCCUGGUGGAACACCUGUAAGUAUUUACAUUUUAACAUGAGCUUUUGUGCUUGUGAAAGCAGACAGUUUGACAGCAAUGACCCCUCACACAAAAGCUUGAAUAAGCGAUGAACUUCCAACAAAUCCAUGACCUGAACUCUGCUGGGUGCAUAUUGAAGGCGACGAGUUAAUAUGGCCUGUGGCCAUACCAACAAGGAGCCUGGCUUUGUGCUGGACUCUUCUGAUGGAGGUGGUCUGCAGACGUGUCUCUCACCACUAUCCCUGCCCAAAGGCCUUCACAUAAGUUCUGGAAAAUAAGAGCGCCCGAGCUCGCUGCCUGGGUGAAGGCCUUAGGCAAAUGUUUGCUAUAGAAAUGACCUCAGUGUUUCUGGAGGUUUCUCAUCCUGCUGCUUGCUCUGGCCCCAGGUGAAGGGCUUGGUUAGCGUAGAUGAGAAGACGGAAGGGUGAACGUGUCUUGUGCCUCCCGUGUGCUGCACUUCAGAGUUCGUUGUGCUUGAAUUCAGUGGAGCUGAACUUCAGUUCUGGGCAGCUCUGGUGUUGGACGUGUCCCUGCAGCAAGCGUGGUAACCUCUGGCCAUCAGACAGGGAAGACAGCUGUCGUAUGGUAACCUCUGAAUUCAUCCCGACCUGAAUCAUGCUGAAGCUGCGGUUCCAGUGAUGUUUCGCCAGCUCUGCCCUGUCCUGGAAUGAGCAGUUCCUGGUACCUGCUUCUCCACUGAAACCUGGGGUCAGAGCAGGAAAUGCCUCUUCGUGCUGCUGCUGCUGCUGGAAGAAAUGCCUCUGGAUCUUUGGCUGAAGGUUCUUCAGUCCCGUGCAGUAAGUCACGCUGCAUUCACCUGCAGAAUUGGAAACUGGAGGGAAUCCUGUUUGUGUCUAAUAACAAGUCAGGCCAGAAUCCCUUCUCGCUCAGGAUGCCAACUGAUGUGGAUCUAUCAAGAUAGAGCGUGGCAAAGGGACAUCUGUUGUUGAUGCUUUCCUGGUAUAGUCUUCCAGGCGCAGCUUCUGGAAUCUUGAGCCAGUGAAUCUGUACAGAAGUUCAGUAUUUAGGUUCGAGAAUCCUUUUUCCUGAGCCUGGCUUUUUGAACCUGCACAGACACUUGGCUCACGUUGUGGUGAGCUUUGCACUUUAGCUACGUGCUUUGUUGGAGAAGAGGGUAAAAACCCAACUUUCUAAACCUGCCACUGGAUACUUCCACUUGAUACCAUUUAUGGCUGUGGGAAAUAAUGAGUAAUGCAUUGCUGCUGACCUCCUCCAUGCCUUGCAGGACGGUGUGGAUCUCUGUUGCAUCACCUCAGCGGCCUUCCUCCCAAGCUGGAGUCUCCAUCUGAGUGUCAGUGAUAAUGCAGAAGCUGUUCCAUGCUCUUGAUUACACUGCUCACUUGUGAAAGCUAUGGUGUGCCUUGUUAACAUCUAUCACAGACGCAUGCCAAAUGUACUUUAUUUGCCUACAUAUUUAUUUCUGUAAGACAUAUACUUGGACAGGCUUAAAGAUUUACAGGUGCUGCCAGGAUUCUUUUCUUCAGCAGUUUUUUUUUUGGGGGGGGGAGCUUUCUCAGUACUGGCACAUUACAGACAGGAGAUGCUGACUGCUAAGGGUGUUUGAAGAUCUGGCUCAGUUGCUUCCAUCCUGAUGACAUGAGAGCUGUUUGUUUAGAUCAUGCUUUGCUCUCUGCCAUCCUCCCCACGUACAUGCCUGGUUUCUAGGAGUCGUGUCCCUGCAUCCCUUCACGAAGUAUCUUUUUACUCCUACAGAUGGGCGCCUGAAAUGUACCCUGCACAUCUGAAACUUUAGUGAGUGGAAUUCAUCCAGAGACAGGGGCUUCAGCCCUUGCCAGCUGUGGGGGUAUUUCUUUGAGCUCUGCCCGAACCAAGUGGUACUGCCACCAAAAGAUAGCUUGCUUUCCUUGUCCACAUGCUGUACUGCUUACCCGGGGUGGUAGCUGGGGUUCAUCCAUCUCUAUGGUCUCAGCAGCUGUCAGAGGAAUUGCUAUGUGCUCCUUGAAGUGAACUGCUUACUGCUGUAACUCUGUUAUAUUCCUAGCCCUUUCUUCUGAUGAUUUCCUGACCUAUUUGUCCACCUGUAGGACUGCUGCCUGUUGCUCGACCUGACAAUUUUAACUUUUUGCAACCAGAAGAAUUUUGCCUCAACGCUAACCAUGCUGCUGGUGGUUACUUACGUUAGAUCGCUCUCGGGGCACUUCACAAAUCGGUGCCUACGCUACUACUGAAAUGCAGCCACUUCUGAAGUAGAAAGUAAAAAAGGAGAGGUUGAGAUCAGGUCACGCUAACCCAUCUCUCUGUGUAAAGUACUGCACAUUCUUCAGUACUGACAUAGCCUGAAAGGGAACCACGGCUUUUAAAGCCCUUCCUUACUUAACCUGUGUACCAAAUGAUGCGUGCUACUUGAUUUGUGUUUAGUUUGUGGAAAAAAGCUUUAUUCCAGCUUGCCAGAACUGGGAACUUCAUUGCAGGUAAUGGGAAUGAUGACAAUGGUGAUUUCAAACCUUUUAGUAACGAAAGCAUCUCGCAGCCAGAAAUCCAAUUUGUCUAGGUUACAUAUUGCCUUUAUUAAGCAUCUCCGGAUUUAUGAAAUAUAGCAAUCUUGUGAGAAACCCUAUUCAUCAUGCAAUGCUGGCUUAUAAUGAUAAUCUUUCAGUGUAGCUGUGUAUAAAACCAUUCUAACAAGCUGUUGAGCACUUAGUCCUGUGCUCUGUGGGCCUUGUGAUUUAUGUAGUGUUUGGAAGUAGCUAGCAUAUCUGUUCAGAGAAAGGAGACUGGGGCUGUCCUUUUAAACUAUCAAGCUGCGUUUGUAGCUCUGGCUGUUGAAUUUGAAGCUCAUCUUGUAGUGCUCUGCUGUUGCUGUAUGCAUUUACUAUCCUACAUUUAAAUAUAGUAUUCAAAGGGUUGCAUGAGGACUGAGAAACUUAGCUCUAGCGUGGCAUAUGCUUUGCAAGGCCCUGUCUGCUCUUGGGAGUUGAACCAGGAAAAUCUAAAAGCUAAUGUGAAGUCAUUGUAUGUUUGAACAGGAGAGCAUGUCUGCGUUGCUUUGAUUAUAAUUGUUUUCUUGCAAUCAUAGCAUCGCCAAGGUUGGAAAAGAUCACUAAGAUCAUCAAAUCCAACCAUCAACCCUUCACCACCAUGCCCCUCUAACCCAUGUCCCUCAGUGCCACAUCUGUACGUUUCUUGGACACAGCUCUCAAACCAUUGAAACGGCCACAUCUUCUAACAAAGCAAGGGGCAGGAGGAUAAGUGGAAGGACCAAGGAGAAUUCCUUUUUGCCAAUUUAUCUUCACUGGGUUGUCAAAUCAACCUUAGAUGAACCAGAAAGCGUUGCUUGCUGGGAUGGAUCCUGGAAUCCAUGCAGCUCUGCUGCCGGGUUGAUUAAUUCCUGCUCACAGAGCCUAAUCCAGGCUCUGCUCCAUGGGUGGGGGAUCAUUAGCUGUGUCUGUUUUAUCUGUCUUGGUGUAUAGGAACUGCAUCUGCUCUGUUUCUCUCGCAGGGCUUAAAUCUUUAGUGGCUUGGAGUUGCAGUGUGGAAAGAACUGCGUGGUCCUUUUCAAACAAAAUAUCUGGAAGGUGCUUUAUUUUUAAUGUUAGUAUAUUCUUAUCUUCACUGUGGCUUCCAGCUUCACUGAAGGUAAGUGUGAGCAUCCACUCCAUGGUUGUUAUCAGUCCAUAGGCGUCUUUGUACCGUGAUAUCAGUACUGAAGGAGUCGUAGGCUUAUGUUAAAUAGAGUCACUUUCCCCUCUUUUGCCCCUUUUCUUUUCCCACUUGGCCCUGUCUUUCAGGUACAUUGUGGUACUUGCUUUCAAAGGUUGUAUUUAACACCAUUGGUGUUUAACGCUUCCCCCCCACCACCACUUCAAGGCAAGUUUUCUUCCAGGUAUGUGACUGCAAACAAUGCAGAGGGAACAAUCUCAGCAGAGAUCUGCGCAUGAUGUUUGUUAUCUCUUUGAAGCUGCCUUCUUCUUAGGACUCUUUUGAUAUUUAGGUAUUUCCUCCACUCUUUCCCUUUUCUGGUGCAUCUUUGCCAGGAUAACUAAAGGCUAGUAACAAACUAGUGUCAAAUUAGUGACCUCGGAAUUAUUUCCUUGGCAACAUAAAUGCGUGUUUGACAUCACAGCAUGAAGAAGCAGUUUAUAAUCGACAGCAAAACCAGCUUAAGGGGAGGGCUUUCUUUUUUUGUUUUCCACGGUUUAUCUCCUCACCUCUAGCUGCUCGUUCCUGCCCGUGUACUUUAGCUUGCAUCCUCUUCAGAGGUGCUGAUACAAGUGGUUGUGGGCUUUCCUCUGGAAGUGAAAUCACGGAAACGGUCUGAGUCAACAGUCCUCUUCCAUUUUUUUUCUGUCUUACAGCAGUCACGCCCUGCAAACUUUUGUUUUGGUUGCUAGAAGGGAAGCAAACUGUAGGCUUUCCCAGUAUGGGAAUGAGCAGCUGGGGAAAGAGGAAGAGCUUCUGGGAGGUGCUUACCCUCAGUGCAGGAAUCACAAAACUACGUGCUGUUUGCACAAAUAGGCUUGAGAGUUUCAGCUGGGAAGCUGGUCUCUUCCCACUUUACCACGCAUUGAUGCAAAGCUCUUUAUUGCAUUAGCUGUGCAAAAAAUCUGUUGCUUCUGUAAAUUGUGUCGUCUUCGGCUGUUCUUUCUGCUACCAGAGUCAUUUCUAUCUUAAGAGAGUAUCUUCCUUAAUUACGCUUGAUGUUGUGUAAGGAAACCGUGUUUCAUCAUGUCGGAUUGUGGUCCAGGUUUUGUUCUGGCUGAGCUGGUACAAAUCUCACGCAUCUUUGCCAACGUUGGUGCAGAGUCUUUAGUGGGGGAAGUCGGUUUGCAUAGAGUAUCAGGAGCAGAGUGUCAGUCACCGCAGAGAGACUGUACCGCUGGAGCUGAACUAACAGUGAGGACUUACAGAGAAUUUACCAGAGAGCCCAAACUUCCCUUACGAGGAAUACGUUCAUGUUAAAGGCCAACUAAAUGCUGAAACAGCACAUUUCCAAGGAAGCUGCCAUAUUGCGAAUGAAGGUGGACCGUGAAGGGGCUUUGUGGCAUAUACACAUUUGAUACAGGCUCAGUCAGCGGCUGUCAUCAGUUCCAACAGUCCAUUUGCUUUUACAUUUCUGAAGUUACAGCUUUUCCAGGGAGCAGCGUGUAAAACAGGACGGCCCGUAGAAAAGCUGGAACUCCAGCCAAAAGACACCUCCUUUUUGUGUCUGCGUGUUGCAGCUGUCUAUCUCUUGGCAGCAGGCAGCGUGGUGUAGAAUGUGAUGUUUCAGUGCUGAAGCAUGAAAGAGUGAAUUAAGGAGUUCAGGACUUAAAAUGGUUUUCUUCUCUAGGGGAUUUCAGUCUUCAUCAUCGCUUAAUUAUUUGGAGGCUAUUUGCAGAGGUGUUUAUUUCUUUCAGUAAUUCUUUAUACUCAAAAUAUGAGAAACUGAGACAGGUCACUAACCCUUUUCUCAGUUGUUCUACACUUCAGUAAUCAGAUGAAUUGUAGUCAGUUGCAUGGAUGCCCAGCUGGGAAGAAAUAUGAAAAAGGGGAUGUGUGUAUUUCUUAAGGGGAAGAGAGGAGGAAAGAAGAGUCUGAACACUUGAUCAGUGAAAUAGAAUUGCGUGUAAGCCAAGUGCCGUUUUGGUUUAGGAAUGCCAGAGCAGCUAAUGUCAUUUCAGUAUUGGUUAUGCUGUUUCUGUACAAACUAUGGCUGGCAUCAUAACACCUUUAAUCUCCCUUAGUUACGCCUGGAAAAAGAGAAAACUUUGCAAAAUGAGCCAAGAUAGAUUCGCUCAGUCUGAUAACGUGACACUGGGAGCACUUGUGUUCCAGGGCACGUGGGUGUCCAGCAGAAUGGCACAGGAGAGGUGAGAUGACGCACUGCAAGGUUUCCAGGUGAGAGCUCUUUUUUGUGCAAGCAGUCAGUUAGGUGGGUGUUCCUGGAAUGUUGCAUGGACACGGUGUCUGAGGAGUCAGAGCCCACCGUUCCUACACAUAGGGUCAGAGGAACAACGGCCAUCCGUGCAAGGUACAGUUACCCACCUGCACUGUGUAGUCUGAGUAGGCAGGCAGGGGCUGGUUGUGCUGCCCUUGCGCUGGCCAGGAUCGCACAUCUCUGCCUUGAAGAUGGUUGCUCAACCUCCGUGGAGUCUGUAAGUCACCUUGGGGAGAGGAGAAGGAUGAGCACUUGGCGCCUGGGGCCUGGCUGUUAGGCUGCGCUUCCCUUGCGCGGUGCAGGGCUGCCUGGCCACGUUCUUGCAGCAAAUGGAGGAAGUGGCGCUGGCAGCAGCCCUCGUGCUGGAUCUCCUUGCACUGGGGGGCUGGAUGCAGGUCGCAUACAGCACCAAGGCGGAGACAACAGGAAAAAUCCAUAUUUGUGGGCUAUCGGUGCAGCGAGACAAACUUUCCAGAGCACUUCACUGUGGAGGGACAGAGAUUGUUUCUGCAGGUGCCGUAAAACAGGAAUAGCCUUGGAGCAGCUGUGGCUUUUCACCUGUGUGCUUUCCUCUCCUCCUCCUCCUCCCCCCACCAGGAGUAAGUGAAGGACGGGUUGCAUGUGAAUCACCUCUGCGCCUACCUAACUUCUCCUGUCCCAGCAGCAAAAGACAGAGAAGGCCCCUGUCCUGACAGGCAGAAAGGGUGUGUGUCUCAAUUGUGUGAGGUCAGCUGAGUUAGCUGAACGCAGUAAAAAAACACAGAGGCCUCUCGAUGCUCCUUGGGUAUAGCCUGCCGUGUCUGAAGCCGUGCUUGUGGCUCUGUGAGACCAUCUAAUGUGCUAACCUGCGUCUUAAUGAACAUGAAGGUGGAUUUUUGGAAAUGUUAAUCUGACUCAACUGAGCUAACGUGACGGUAGCUCUCAGAGAACCUGUCUUGCCCACAUGGACGAGCCUGCUUAAGUUAGUAGGACAAGCACCAGUCCUUCUAAUGGCCUAGUUAAGAUGAUUUAAGAUGAUUUGCCCUUUUUUUUUUUCCCUCCACAAAGGUAAGUGCACCCUGCAAGAUGAGCAAAGGCCGCAGGAAAAUGUUCAUAUUUGCGAUGUUGAAAUCUAUGGAUCUAAACCAGGAGAUGCUUUUUUUUUUCUGCCUUUGUGCAGCUCUCAUCACCUUGGUGCAGUUCUCACAUGGGUGUGUUGUGCCUGGCACUCCUUCACAGCACACCUGAAUGCUAUUCUAUGCACGAGUUAAAUGGCAGCGUGAUUGCAUUGUACCUUGAAAUGCUUUGCUGAGUGGCCUUACAGAUGACCAGGGCAGCUGGGCUCCUGGCAGUUUGUUCAGAGCUAUUUAGGAGUGUGCUAGUCGGCGUGUCAAAGGUAGAAGGCACUAAAAUACCUAUGUGACACCUCAGUCUUUCUUCUUUUAAAUGUUCCACUUAUGACAGACCAGAAGAGCAAGCACUUGAUGAGAGAGUAUUAAAACUGAUAAAACUCGAACCCCUAAACAUCUAGCUCCUUUUCCUGCUCGUAGUAGGUAAAAAGGCUCGGUUUUGUUUUGGUUUUAUUUUGAAAGCGGGGAAAAAGUCUUCUGGAGAUAGGAAACCACUCAGAAGUUACUGUUAAGCCAGCUGUGUAUUGUCUGGUUUUCAAAGCAGUCAGGCGGUCCAUGGUUCUAUGAAGGUGGAAUGAUUUUGAAAUGAGGGCUGUGUGACUGCUUGAGUACUUAGACACAGGCUCUGAAAUGCUGAAUAACAGCAAUUCCUGCGAGCUUCACAAGGAACGCUUCUGGAAACUGCUCUUGAUGCACUGUGUGCAAGCACUACAAGUGCAGGUAAAUAGUUCUCUAAAAUAUUUUGGCACGCUGAGAAAACUUCAGUGCGUGCUACUUGGAAGCUGAACACUAUAGACUUUUCGUGGCUAAGAUCAGUUUAAAUAGGUGAGCUUUUCUAACUUCUGUGUGCACGAGAGAGGGGAACAGAAGGGCAAGUAAAAAAAAAACUAGGAGGAAAGACCUCGCUGCUGACUUGGGAGAUGUGUUUGACCUCCUUAGCCUUAUGCACUUGUCUGUGGUUUUCAGCCAAAGGCUCCCACUUUGAGAGAGGCUUGCUUCUCGUGCUGAACUAUUUUUUGACGCAGUGAAUGAAUGCAAUAUGUUAACGCUCCUGUAAGCCCCAGAAUUGCUUGGCUGCCCCUUGCCCUGCCUGCCUCAUACUGGCUGAAAAGGUACCAUUGUUUGUUCUGCAAACAGAGGGUGAUGUUUGUUUCCAAGGUGACUGUGGCUCUGUUGCUGCCCUCUAGUACAAAAUUAAAAUGGCUUUAAACACCUGAGAGCAUCCCACUGUCACUAGAGAUGGUGGGAGGGAGGAAAGAGCUGUUUUGUAUUGAUCUCUGGGCUGUCUAUUAGAAUAAAGACAAAGAAAGCGUCCAUUAGCUAAGAAGUGGCGAUGAAUGCAUUUGGUUUAUAUUACAAAACGUUAUCCAUAAGUAGUACACAGAUACAGCCAUUGAAACACUUGUUAAUUCUAAGGAUGCCAGUGAAUGUAAAGUCUUUCAAACAUGUUAGUUAUCGUUUCAGUUCACAGUAGGAAUAUUCUGCUUUUUCAGUUAGCUAAAUCAGAGGAUAUACUGAAGAUGUUGCUCAAGUGAAGAUGUAUCAGCUUCCCAAAAGGAAAGCUGGAAGGGAAUAUGAGCAGUCCUGCUAGACUUGUGGAUUUUCAGAUUGUUUUGGAAAAUGAUUAUUUGGCAAUAAAACACACAACCCCAGAGAGAAACUCCCAGCAGUCAGUUCUUUCGUUGCUUUUGUGCAUUCUUGGAUUCCAUCAUUCUACAUCUAUGAUUCUCAGAGUAGCGCCUUGCUUUUAAACAUCUGGGUGGAUGGAUUAGAAGCAUUUUAGUAUGCUCUCCCUGUGCUGCCUGCUGAUCUACUGAUACAUCUGUUCAGUAUAGGGGGGAGUAAGUUGGGGGGAAAAAAAAGCAAACAACUUUUUUUAAUUGGUCACGGAUGCUGCUGGCAGAACUUUGCCUUCUUCCCCAUCAGGUUUUGUACAGUUCAUACCCAGGUUUCAGUAAACAUUAACCACUUUUAUCAGGGCUCACAGCAUGCUGAAUGGUUAGCAAAGAGCAUGUACUGAGAGGGACAGAGAAAAUGAACAAGUCCAAGGUCAAAAGGAUGGUAGAUUUUUCCUUGAUUAAAGUACGUGGUGGAGAAGGUUGAUGAUACUUGGUGGACAAAGUAGGCCUGUGUGAGUGACCUGGUUCUUGUCCUUGGGCUUUUGUCUGAGUAAAGGCAGUCGGGUGUUCUGUGAGGAGGAUGCGCAUCAUCAGUAUUUCUCUGGUCUAGUGGGAUACUCAGACGUUGUCAACUUCCUUCAUGCUCAUAUUCAGGGCAACAUGAACUCUUUAUGCCCUGGACCAAUCCCGAGCAAAGUGUAAUCUCUGCUAUCACCGUCAUAUCUUUAUGUAGACCUGCUCCUGCCCAGCAUCCACAAAGCUUGCGUUGACUUCAGCAGUGCUCACAAGCAGCAGGAGGUUGUGAUUUCCUCCCCUCCCUGCCUUCAUGAAGCAGUGAUACAAAGCCAUCCUGAUUAGACGAGUUGGCUAAGAAACCGUACGGUUUAGCACUUUGCCUCACCUUUCUUUCUCAUGGGUGGCUUGGAUGCUUCGUUAUUGCUUCUGAGGGGUGCAGCACUGCUAAUUUUUCUGCAAAGUGAUUUGCUGUAGUGAUGAAAAAGUAGUUGAUCAGCUUAGCAAUGAAAAUGAGAAAAACUGUAGUUAAUUAAAUGAUUUGAAGUUGAGGUGUGAAAGUUUUGAAAAGAACAUGUGGCCGACCUCAGUGAACAUCUCCAGAGAAGGAGACUCCACAACCUCUCGGACAGCCUGUUCCAGUGCUCUGUCACCCUUAAACUAAAGAGGAUGUGUUUUUGUUUGUUUGUUUGUUUGUUUGUUUGAAGUUCAGAUGGAACUUCCUGUAUUCCAGUUUGUGCCCGUUGCUCCUUGUUGUGUCUCUGGAUAGUGCUGAGAAGAGCCUGGCCCUACCCACUCAGUCUUCUCCAGGCUGAACAGCCCCAGGUCUCUCAGCCUUUCCUCACAAGGGAGAUGCUCCAGGCCCCAUCUUGGUGGCCCUCCGCUGGACUCUCUCUAGAAGUUCCCCGUCUUUCUGGAACUGAGGAGCCCAGAUGUGGGCCCAAUACUUCAGAUGUGGCCUCAGCAGAGCAGAGGAGAGGAAGAGAAGAACUUCCCUUGACCUGUUGGCAAAUUCUAAAGUUAUUUUUAAUUGUGCAAAUCAACAUAUCCUGUCCCUCCUCACUCCAGUCAAAUAACAUUUUGCGAAAGAAAGAAGCAGCAGCAGUCACCUGCGUGUUUCCUAGAAGUUGAGAGGAAAAAAUCGUUGAGAGGUUGUACUCACUGGAAAAACACAGAUUUCCUCAAAUGACACAUCAAACACGAAAGAAAUCCAAACCGCCUGUGAAUGAUCUGACAGUAGUUUGAGAAACUCCCUCUGCUGCGUGCCCCUCAAAUCAGAAACGUGUGCGCACAGUUAAAAAUCUCAUCUUUGUGGUGACACAGAUGAUUCAGUGCAGGAAACGAGAAGAAUCUCAUUCAGCAGCUAAGCAUUUGUGGGGCGGGGGUGUGAGGUUCAUGGUGUUCAGCACGCCCGGCUAGAGAGCUUUGGGCUCCUUUCUCCUGAAUUUUCUGCUGAUUUAAAUCAGGGCUGCUACCUGAAGCAUCGGUGUGAGAGGCAAAUCCUUCUUCUUCAUUCUACUUGGAUCAUCUGAGAGAGCGAAGAAGGACAGGAGGGGAAUCCGUAGCUGUUACUUUCUUAAUUUUAACUGCAGAUAUUAGCAGUGCCUUGUAAUGAGAGGUGCAGGGUGGGCAGGUCAGCGGAUGGACUGCCUGUCCUUCCUCCAGCGGUGGCCACAUGUCCAACACCAGCCCUGUGCUAGGAGUGGCGGGGUGAGAGGAGCUGUGGGUGAGGGCUUGCAAUUGCAGCCUCUUCGAAGUCGCUCUCGUUCAUCUAAAUGUAAAAUAUGGAUUGUGGUUUUAGUCUUAAAUAUUUGUGGGAUUUCAGCAAACCACUACAAAGUAAACAGCAGCUAAAAGUGACACAUUUAAGGCAGGAUUUCUUUUUUAUUUUUCUUCUGUGAGGUGAUGUGGACACUUGUAUCAUGUGAGCCAAUGUUCAGACUGAAGACGUUUUCUAAAUUUGAGAAAUUCUUUGUUCAUCUCUUAUUCACAAAAUUCCCUCAAGGAGCUUCACAGUUCUUCAGGAGGCUGGUGUGUAAUUUUCUUUUUAACUCUACCGAUGUUCUUCCAUAGCUGUCCAGGUGAUUUCUCCCCCCUCUCCAAAUAACACAAAAAAUCUCCCUUCCUUUCUUAAUAAGCAGGUCAUGUGUGGUAUUAGCAGCUUGUGAAAGUCUAUGAAGAGAAACUGAAUCGCAUGUGCAAGGUGAUUGUUCCCCUGUAAUCAGCUUUUCAAGUACUGUGUUCGAUUUUGGGCCUCCCGCUACAAGAAAGACAUUGAGGCCUUGGAGUGUGUCUGGAGAAGAGGAGUGAAGCUGUGAGGGCUCUGGAGCACAGGUCUUACGGGGAGUGGCUGAGGGAGCUGGCAUUGUUCAGUCUGGAGGAGGUUCAGGUGAGACCUUAUCACUCUCUACAGCUCCCCAGAAGGUGAUUGUAGUGAGGUGGAGGUCAGCCUCUUUUCCUAGGUCACAGUGGUAGGAUGCGAGGUAAUGUCCAUAAGUUAUGCCAGGGGAGGUCCAGUUUGGAUAUCAGGAAAAAGAAAGAGCAGUGAGGCAGUGGCACAGUCUGCCCACGGAGGUGGUUGAGUCACCGUCACUGGACGUGUCCAAGAAUUGUGUGGAUGUGGCACUGAGACGUGGUUAGCAGGCAUGGUGGAGAUGGCAAAAUGGUUGGACUAGAUGAGCUCAGUGAACUUUUCCAGCCUUAAUGUUUCUAUGAUUCUAUGAAUUUGGAUUCUAAAAUAUAAUGAUUUAGUACUAAGGGCAAGUUUAAUGGGAACAUGUGUGUAAACUUUUGCCUUGUCUGGAAACUUUCCAAGGAAUAUAGCAGUAAAGACGGUUUUUAGAUUGUUUUAAUGCCUCUGCAAAGACAUGAGCAGUUAUGUAGCUGCUGUAGGUCCUCAGCCGAUAACAAGCACUAAUGAAGUGGCUUCUCAUGCAGUUUUAUUGAGAUUAUUUAUGCAAAUACAGUGCAGUGUUUAUUGCAAUAGCAAUUAUUUACAAUUCUCAGUUGGUAAACAAAAGCAUUACCAUUCAUCUCUGGUGCCUUGGUACCUUGUAGUAAGCCUGCUCAGUUUUCCCUGCCAUAACUGGCUGGGUGUGCUCCCGGCUUUUGUUCCUCAUUUCCAACAGCCUCACAGGUUUUGUCUGCUCGUAUCACAGAGGCACAGGAAGGGCUUGCUCUUGAUGAACCACUCAUCCUGUUUUUAGAUUAAAAAAAAAAAAAAAAAAAGUACUGUGGAAAAACACAUAUAUUGUCAGUCCCACAGUCCUGUUUCAUGAAAGGAUCUCUAAGAGUGGUCAGGUACACUGUGGGCAGGAAGAAUUACACAUGUCCCUUUCUAGAUACCCUUGCGGAGCCUUCAGUGCAUUCUCUUAAAUUUUUGGUGUAGAAAGUCUUUUGACUGUAUCAUGUAGAGGCUCACUCUGUCAACCCUUACCCAAGCUUUCUGUCCUCUGUCCUUUAACUGGGCCUGUCCUGUCUGGGGAAGACAUCUCUUUACCCCAUAACUACCAUGUUCAGGCUCAACUUAGUACAAAACUUUUGUCUUCCUGUAAGAUGUGACAGACCUCUGUGCUGUACAAAUGCUUGCAGAAAACACGAUGGAUACCUUGCUGUAGCCUCGGGGCAGCCAAGAGUGAUUGGUGAGACGUUUCUCAUUCUUGAUCAGUGUGCAGGCAGGCCUCAGCUCCUUUCUGCUCUUAGAGAAACUCUCACUGGCCUUUCUGCUGAACUUCAGGUACAGUGUGUGAUUUUGAGUUGGUUUUUAGCGGCCAGUCUCGGUAGAACAGAGGAGGUUGUAUGUAUUUAUUAAUAUGCUGUACUUUUCCAUUUAGGAAGACUUUUAUGUUCACUUCUGUGGGUGUCUCAUGUAUCUGAGGUCCAAGCAGGAUUUGACCUCAGCGCUGCAGUUUGGGGGAGGCCUGGUACCCACUUCCUGGGUUGAGGGCAGACAGUACGGCAUGGUCCUGCUCUGCAGCAGGACCUGGGUAUCCACAGACGUGGUCUGCACACAAGGGACAUUCUGGGACUUCAGCAGUACACCCACAGCCUUCAUCUGGCAGCCCUCAGGCCAGGAGCACUGUGAAGUGGGAGGCGUAAGGCGUACGACCUGCUGUUCCUGUAGGAGCCAAGUCAGGGCUGCCACUCUGGCAGGGUUUCUCCAUCCAGUGUCUUGUUGGUAGACACCCAGGUGUGGGUUGUCGACCAGGUGAAUCCUCAGAUGGGCCACACAGGGCCAGCAUCCCCAUGAUGAGGUAGCAGGGGGCCCGGAGAAGUUCCCCAGCCAAAGAGCCUGGGUUGCUUCAGCCUUGCAGCUCUGGUGGAGGGUCGUCCGUUCAGAGCACUAGCAACUUCCUCGUUAGGAUGCAGACUCUUUAAACUUUUAUUAAAGGGAUUGUCUGUGCUGACAUUUAGCUAGCACCAGAUGUUGGCUUUUCGUUAGCAGUGUGGAGGUGGCAUAGCUAAUAAAGGCGAGGGUAAGAGACUUGUGUGAAGCUGUCAGAUGCGGCUUUGUGUGCUGCAGCCUGCGUGAUGUCUGUCGCGUCUUCAUGGGCCAGUGUUCUACAAGAAGGCCGGUGUUUCUCUUCUUCCUUUUCUUCUGCACUCUUGACUGGCCAAGUGUUUUCCAAGCGCUUGUCUUUGUCAGGUGGCGUUGCUCAUUUGUUACGUGCUAGCUAAUGCAGUCAGGGUACAAAGGUAGCUCAGUGGCAGUUUGUUUUAUUCCUUGCAUUUUGAUAUUUCUUCUGCACAUAACUUUCCUGUAGAUCAUACUUCUCCCCCUCAACCUCUUUUCACCAUCCCCUCCCUCAGAAAAUGUCAGCAACCGAUUGUUUCCUUUGCAGAGCCUAGAGCCCCUAGACAGAGGCUUUCCCAGCUUUAUGAAUGCACCGUUUGUUGCUGAGGGCACAACUGUUCGAUAUAACUGGCUGCAUCCCACUCUGCUUUGGACCAGCAUGCACUACAGCCAGUCUGUGCAUAAACCAGAUUUUUGUAUUAAAUGGCACCAUUUUGUCCGCAGCAGCAGUCUGUCUGUCUUUUGUGUGUGCGCGUGUGAGACUUGCAGCUUUCAGAUGCAAGAUGUAUAAAGAACAGUAGUUUCGCAGAAAUAAGUGUUACUCAGUGAGCGUGCACUGCCACUCGAAGGCUUCUUUUUCUCAGGGAGUUCCUGAUGAGUGAUAUUUCUUCCUUAUUUUGUGUGGGCGGACCAAGGCCAAAACAAGAUUUUAAAUGUUUUAUGAAGUGGAUACGGAGUGUAACAUUACAGAUGUAGUUGUGUUAUCGGGGGCACUCUCAGUUAUAACUUCAGUGGGAAUGCGUUUGGCACGUUGAACAUGUCUGUGCUUAUUUAUGUUUGCUCUGUUUCAUCGAACCGCUCUAUUCCCCCUCCUACCCACUUCUUAUUUUUGCUGGGGACUGUAUAGAUGUGGCGAAUUGAAGAUGCUGUGCGCUUCAUUUAUGUCUAAGGAAAUGGCACCCGAUGUGAAACCUGGUGCUUCUCUUUGGUGCCCUCCCCAGUUACUCCCUGCCUAAGGUCAGUGUAGUUUGGCCAUGGCACAGGCCUGCAGCCCUCAGCUGUACUGUGCCUGGGGCUGCAGGAGGGGCUGCGUGGCACGGAGCUCCAUCACAGCCACAAGGGAGGCUGUGUGAGGCUCUGUCCCCGGCAGCUAAAUCACUGCUCAUCGACGCUCUCUGCUUGCUGCCUUUCUCACAAUGCCUGGCAUUUCUCCUCAGAAGCACAGUGCCCUCUUCUCAUCGCUCUGCUUACUUACCUGCUGAGUGCCUCCAACAAAUAAGAACACCUCCAAAGCAGCCCCGCCACCUCGGAGCUUGUACUAUGUCGAAAUCCUUUCCAUGCUCCUCCACUGUAUUUAAUAAGCAGGGGAAACUAGUAGCACCCACUUGUGAGAGGGCUGUGGUGGAGAAGAUGAGGAUUCCCCACCUCGCCCUCUUUUGGAUACCUGCUCUGAGCAUUGGGCAGGUUUGACUGAAACGUAAUCAUCCCCCCACCAAAAAGAAAUAUGUACAACUUUACAGCCCACCCUGACCGUGUUCCUCUCUAUAUUCACUGCCUACGUAACAUUACCCACGGGAUGCGGGUGGGAGGAGGAAACUUCUUCUCUUUCAUGUGACUGCAGCACAGUUAAGAAUUGCAGCAGGCUUUAGGGGCUUGCGUGACCAAAGUGAUAGAUGCAGUGGGUUUCUAGUAACUGGGGGGGAGUUUCUCAGGCACAUCUCCAUGUCUCAGCUUCCCGGUGGACCCCACGGAAGGAUGCAGAUCUGCUCUCCAUGUGAUUGCUCAUUUGUUAGGAGCUGGCAAGUGCAUAGUGUGCAGAGACAAAGGCUGCCCUGGCCUGAAAAGCCCCCAAAGACAAGUUGUGUAGUAAAUACAUCUGUAAAGCAGCGUCUGAGUUACAGGCUGCCUGCGGCUCACGCACUUACA
Gallus gallus (chicken) is the source of this 18638-nucleotide long non-coding RNA. RefSeq lists it as uncharacterized. The record is from RefSeq and is a predicted model, not a curated record. The transcript has 3 exons. NCBI's taxonomy places the organism in Eukaryota, Metazoa, Chordata, Aves, Galliformes, Phasianidae.